AAGACCAGCAUGGGCAUCAGGAUGGAGUCAAUCACUCAGGUCUUCAUAUUUCUGCUGCUCUGGUUGUCUGGUGUUUAUGGGAAUACUGUGAUGACCCAGUCUCCCACAUCUAUGUUCACAUCAGUAGGAGACAGGGUUACCAUAAGCUGCAAGGCCAGUCAGAAUGUGGGUAUUAAUGUAGCCUGGUACCAACAGGAAACAGGGCAGUCUCCUAAACGGCUUAUUAACUGGGCAUCCAACCGGGACACUGGGGUCCCUGAUCGCUUCACAGGCAGUGGAUCUGGGACAGAUUUCACUCUCACCAUCAGCAACAUGCAGGCUGAAGACCCAGCUAUUUAUUACUGUCUGCAGCAUAAGUCCUAUCCUCCCACAGUGUUUCAGCCUCAUACACAAACCUCCUCUGACAUUCUAACCACCUGCCUAUAUCACUCAUCCCUCGACCUACACACUUCCUCUUCUGCCUAA
This is a non-coding RNA of Rattus rattus (black rat), 465 nucleotides long. Lineage: Eukaryota; Metazoa; Chordata; Mammalia; Rodentia; Muridae. The record is from the annotation of a RefSeq genome assembly.